Molecule: ribosomal RNA, 352 nt
Filed under: uncultured bacterium
Lineage: Bacteria
Description: bacterial SSU rRNA
Rfam family: Bacterial small subunit ribosomal RNA
Source: RNAcentral
GAUGAACGCUGGCGGCGUGCCUAACACAUGCAAGUUGAACGAAGACAUACCGACGGAAUCCUUCGGGAGGAAGAUGGUAUGGACUGAGUGGCGGACGGGUGAGUAACGCGUGGGUAACCUGCCCUGUACAGGGGGACAACAGUUAGAAAUGACUGCUAAUACCGCAUAAGCGCACGGUAUCGCAUGAUACAGUGUGAAAAACUCCGGUGGUAUAAGAUGGACCCGCGUCUGAUUAGCUAGUUGGUGAGGUAACGGCCCACCAAGGCGACGAUCAGUAGCCGGCCUGAGAGGGUGAACGGCCACAUUGGGACUGAGACACGGCCCAAAACUCCUACGGGAGGCAGCAGUGGGG